This 458-nucleotide ribosomal RNA is filed under the name uncultured bacterium. Its description in RNAcentral is "partial 16S ribosomal RNA". It matches the Rfam family "Bacterial small subunit ribosomal RNA", at positions 338 to 795 of the family's 1533-position model. The record is from RNAcentral.
CCUACGGGCGGCAGCAGUGAGGAAUAUUGGUCAAUGGGCGAGAGCCUGAACCAGCCAAGUCGCGUGAGGGAGUACUGCCCUAUGGGUUGUAAACCUCUUUUGGCGGGGAGCAAAAGACGGACGAGUCCGGCAGUGAGAGUACCCGAAGAAAAAGCAUCGGCUAACUCCGUGCCACCAGCCGCGGAAAUACGGGGGAUGCGGGCGUUAUCAGGAUUUAUUGGGUUUAAAGGGUGCGCAGGGGGAUUUUUAAGUCAGCGGUCAAAUCGUGGGGCUCAACCCCAUCCAGCCGUGGAAACUGGGGAUCUAGAGUGUGCGAGAGGUAUGCGGAAUGCGUGGUGUAGCGGUGAAAUGCAUAGAUAUCACGCAAAACCCCGAUUGCGAAGGCAGCAUACCGGUGCACAACUGACGCUCAGGCACGAAAGCGUGGGUAUCGAACAGGAUUAGAUACCCGGGUAGUC